GUGCUCACUUCGGCAGCACACAUACUAAAACUGGAACCAUACAGAGAGGGUUAGCAUGGCCCCUGCACAAGGGGGACAGGCAAGUUCGUGAAGCCUUCCAUAUUUUA
Small nuclear RNA from Equus asinus (donkey), 107 nucleotides. NCBI's taxonomy places the organism in Eukaryota, Metazoa, Chordata, Mammalia, Perissodactyla, Equidae. The record is from Ensembl.